RNAcentral lists this ribosomal RNA (523 nucleotides) under Lasiodiplodia theobromae. RNAcentral describes it as "eukaryotic LSU rRNA". The stretch from base 154 to 312 matches the Rfam family "5.8S ribosomal RNA". Lineage: Eukaryota; Fungi; Ascomycota; Dothideomycetes; Botryosphaeriales; Botryosphaeriaceae. The record is from RNAcentral.
UGCGGAAGGAUCAUUACCGAGUUUUCGAGCUCCGGCUCGACUCUCCCACCCUUUGUGAACGUACCUCUGUUGCUUUGGCGGCUCCGGCCGCCAAAGGACCUUCAAACUCCAGUCAGUAAACGCAGACGUCUGAUAAACAAGUUAAUAAACUAAAACUUUCAACAACGGAUCUCUUGGUUCUGGCAUCGAUGAAGAACGCAGCGAAAUGCGAUAAGUAAAUGUGAAUUGCAGAAUUCAGUGAAUCAUCGAAUCUUUGAACGCACAUUUGCGCCCCUUGGGUAUUUCCCGGGGGGCAUGGCCUGUUUCGAGCGGUCAUUUACAACCCUCAAGCUCUGCUUGGAAUUGGGCACCGUCCUCACUGCGGACGCGCCUCAAAGACCUCGGCGGUGGCUGUUCAGCCCUCAAGCGUAGUAGAAUACACCUCGCUUUGGAGCGGUUGGCGUCGCCCGCCGGACGAACCUUCUGAACUUUUCUCAAGGUUGACCUCGGAUCAGGUAGGGAUACCCGCUGAACUUAAGCAUAU